CCUACGGGCGGCUGCAGUGGGGAAUAUUGGACAAUGGGGGCAACCCUGAUCCAGCCAUGCCGCGUGUGUGAAGAAGGCCCUCGGGUUGUAAAGCACUUUCAGUGAGGAAGAACGCCUGGUGGUUAAUACCCAUCAGGAAAGACAUCACUCACAGAAGAAGCACCGGCUAACUCCGUGCCAGCAGCCGCGGUAAUACGGAGGGGGCGAGCGUUAAUCGGAAUUACUGGGCGUAAAGCGCGCGUAGGUGGCUUGAUAAGCCGGUUGUGAAAGCCCCGGGCUCAACCUGGGAACGGCAUCCGGAACUGUCAAGCUAGGGUGCAGGAGAGGAAGGUAGAAUUCCCGGUGUAGCGGUGAAAUGCGUAGAGAUCGGGAGGAAUACCAGUGGCGAAGGCGGCCUUCUGGACUGACACUGACACUGAGGUGCGAAAGCGUGGGUAGCAAACAGGAUUAGAUACCCUUGUAGUC
Molecule: ribosomal RNA, 465 nt
Filed under: Vreelandella stevensii
Lineage: Bacteria; Pseudomonadati; Pseudomonadota; Gammaproteobacteria; Oceanospirillales; Halomonadaceae
Description: partial 16S ribosomal RNA
Rfam family: Bacterial small subunit ribosomal RNA
Source: RNAcentral